CGCAGCCUACGGGACGCAGCAGUAGGGAAUCUUCCACAAUGGACGAAAGUCUGAUGGAGCAACGCCGCGUGAGUGAAGAAGGGUUUCGGCUCGUAAAGUCCUGUUGAAGGGGAAAAAGAGCGGAGAGAGGAAAUGGUCUCCGAUUGAUAUUACCCUUCGAGGAAGUCACGGCUAACUACGUGCCAGCAGCCGCGGGAAUACGUAGGUGGCGAGCGGUAUCCGGAAUGAUUGGGCGUAAAGGGGGCGUAGGCGGCCUGCUAAGUCUGGAGUGAAAGGGACCGGCUCAACCGGUACAG
This 296-nucleotide ribosomal RNA is filed under the name uncultured bacterium. RNAcentral describes it as "partial 16S ribosomal RNA". It matches the Rfam family "Bacterial small subunit ribosomal RNA", at positions 332 to 621 of the family's 1533-position model. The record is from RNAcentral.